CAAAGAAUAGUUUAGUUUAGAAUGUUAGCUUUGGGAGCUGUUGGUGGGGGUUAAAAUCCCCUUUCUUUGA
Molecule: transfer RNA, 70 nt
Filed under: Ablennes hians
Lineage: Eukaryota; Metazoa; Chordata; Actinopteri; Beloniformes; Belonidae
Also listed under: 1 other name
Description: tRNA-Pro
Rfam family: tRNA
About the family: Transfer RNA (tRNA) molecules are approximately 80 nucleotides in length.
Source: RNAcentral